Molecule: long non-coding RNA, 583 nt
Organism: Eurytemora carolleeae
Lineage: Eukaryota; Metazoa; Arthropoda; Copepoda; Calanoida; Temoridae
Exons: 3
Source: RefSeq, a predicted model, not a curated record
CAAUUUAGAGGUAUAAAUGAUCCAAUUUGAUGUUGAAUAGGUAAGGGUGAACUUUGUUACAAAAAAGGUGUCUUGAACAUUUUUUGUCAUAGACGUCAGUUAUAAAAAGCAUAAAUACAAAAUUCUUUUUUGAUUGAAAGAAAGAAGGAGGACGACAAUCAUUAAACAGUUUCAUGAUUUGCCACCGAAAAUUUUUUCAUUUGUAGAAGAGACUCAGAAUCCACUGGACCUCCAGGAUACUCUAGAAACUCUUCAAUAAAUUCAAGAUCAGGGUUCAGGUCUGGAACCCCUGGCACCAGCCCACUGUGCUCCCCACACACAUCUCCUCUGCUCCCCCGACCCGGCAGGGCGGGUCAUAACAGAACCGGUUCUACUUCAAACUCAGGUUUCAGAGGAGUUGACGUCAUCAGAUGUACUAAACCUGGAUACCCUCCUCCUUCCCCUGGUGGAGAUAGAAGACGACUUAUCUCUCUCACAGAGCAAUUACAGAACAGACUAGACGAUCAAUCACAGAAUGAAACUGAAAACAUAUCAUUAGUUGAUCAAAGUUAAUUAAAAUGUAAAUAAAAUAUUAUCUAAUUGU